This 213-nucleotide ribosomal RNA is filed under the name uncultured bacterium. Its description in RNAcentral is "partial 16S ribosomal RNA". It matches the Rfam family "Bacterial small subunit ribosomal RNA", at positions 126 to 334 of the family's 1533-position model. The record is from RNAcentral.
UAGCCUGGUAGCGGGGGGUAACUAUUGGAAACGAUAGCUAAUACCGCAUAACAGUAGAUAUUGCAUGAUAUCUGCUUGAAAGGUGCAAUUGCAUCACUACCAGAUGGACCUGCGUUGUAUUAGCUAGUUGGUGAGGUAACGGCUCACCAAGGCGACGAUACAUAGCCGACCUGAGAGGGUGAUCGGCCACACUGGGACUGAGACACGGCCCAG